This 264-nucleotide ribosomal RNA is filed under the name uncultured archaeon. RNAcentral's name for it is "partial 16S ribosomal RNA". It matches the Rfam family "Archaeal small subunit ribosomal RNA", at positions 714 to 982 of the family's 1478-position model. The record is from RNAcentral.
AGACGUCUACAUUAGAUACCCCUGUAGUCCCAGCCGUAAACUAUGCGCGUUAGGUGUAUCGGUGACCACGAGUCACCGAGGUGCCGAAGGGAAACCGUGAAACGUGCCGCCUGGGAAGUACGGUCGCAAGGCUGAAACUUAAAGGAAUUGGCGGGGAGCACCACAACGGGUGGAGCCUGCGGUUUAAUUGGACUCAACGCCGGGAAGCUCACCGGAUAAGACAGCGGAAUGAUUGUCAAUCUGAAGGUUUUACAUGACUAGCUG